RNAcentral lists this long non-coding RNA (548 nucleotides) under Piliocolobus tephrosceles (Ugandan red Colobus). Its description in RNAcentral is "lncRNA (ENSPTEG00000034204.1)". The record is from RNAcentral. Lineage: Eukaryota; Metazoa; Chordata; Mammalia; Primates; Cercopithecidae.
CAAACACAAGAUAGCAAAGACACUGUUUGCCUAGAGAGCCCAGUUUUAACCCCAUGCUAGCUAUGGCAAGGCCCAGCUGGGGGAUUUCUCUCCUUCCCUGCUUCAGGCGGGGAAGGUCCACUGAGCAGAGAGCUUGCCGGAUGAGCCUGCCAGUAUCUUCUAGCCCAGGCCUGGUGACUGGCUUCUACAGAGAAUGUUAGAGCUGAAAGGACCCUAAAGAGCCACCCCUCUGCAUUUUACACAUGAAGAAACCAUGACCCAGAGAGACUGUGACAGAUCCAGGGCUACCAUUUGGUAAUGGCAGAGACAGACUGGUUUCCAGGAAUUCCGGAAACGUUUGCUCCACCAACCUGCACACAGAAAGUCAAAUUAAGGAGCCUACUUCUUCCAGAAAGAGUCCCUUUCUCCAAGAGUAAUGUGGUCUGUAACACGAAGAUGCACACAGGAGAAACACAUCCAGCAUGAGGACAGGCUCCUCAGAGCCAGGGAAGCACAGGUGCGACCACGACAAGCACAGAAAAGAGGGGGUCGUGCUGGGUAGCACCUCA